RNAcentral lists this ribosomal RNA (189 nucleotides) under Staphylococcus aureus. Its description in RNAcentral is "partial 16S ribosomal RNA". It matches the Rfam family "Bacterial small subunit ribosomal RNA", at positions 1 to 184 of the family's 1533-position model. The record is from RNAcentral. Lineage: Bacteria; Bacillati; Bacillota; Bacilli; Caryophanales; Staphylococcaceae.
UUUAUGGAGAGUUUGAUCCUGGCUCAGGAUGAACGCUGGCGGCGUGCCUAAUACAUGCAAGUCGAGCGAACGGAUGAGAAGCUUGCUUCUCUGAUGUUAGCGGCGGACGGGUGAGUAACACGUGGAUAACCUACCUGUAAGACUGGGAUAACUUCGGGAAACCGGAGCUAAUACCGGAUAAUAUUUUGA